ACCGCCUGGACAGCCUGCGCGGAGGUCUUUCUUUUAGUCCUCUGGGAAUAAUGUGAUGCUAGACAUGCUGGACUGAGAAAGGAAAAAAAAAAAAAGCAAAACACAAAAGCAAAAAAAAAAAAAACCACCCAUUUGGGUCAAUGAAGGAGCGUCAGGCCGCAGCGACGGGGGAGGGGAGCGACUUAAGCAAAGUCCGCUGCCCCAAAAAUGCACGUUGGUCUGUGGGAGGUGCAGGUGAGAAGCCAGAACCCAGUCGGAGAAGGGACCCCUUGCGCGUGUCACCCAAGGUUUGGCAAGCCUUGACUACGGUUACUUCUGAGUCACUCUGGUGUCCGUGUCUCAACAGCCAUCAGAACCUGGGACGGCUGCUCCGAGGCAGGAGUUUCCUAUACAACCUGUGCAGACACAUCCCACGUGGCCCCGGUCUUGCUGAGCAACUGUCGGGUCUCCUGGUGGCCCGAGGGGAAGCAGGACCAAGCUUUCGGAGCCAACCACACAACCCAUCCAGCUCCACACUGUGCCGUCACCUUGGAGCCUGAAACGAGCCAUGGUGGGAAUGACGGACGCCAUGAAAACUGGCCAACACUACAAAGCGGGACUGUUUUCCUCAGGGAGAGCCGGUGGCUAAACAUUUGCCAGCACAUCGCUGCCUAAGCUCCAGCUGGGGAAGAGGCAGCCUUCUGCGAUGCGGGAAGUCACAGUGAGUCCCGAGUGGUGAGCAGGGCAGAAGGCCCUUCUGCCAAGUUCCCUGUGGGCUGGAAAUGGAAAAAACCACCACCCGUGGAGUCUAGCUCAUCCUUCCUUCUCAUCUCGAGGCCAAAGGCGCUCAGCAUCACCUGCCUUCAGGGGACUUCCCAGUCCCUGUGGAGUGGGAAGCCGCUCUGGACAUGAGCAGAGGUGAGACUCAGAGGCUCUCCCUUGAGAAGAAAACACUUCUGCUAAGCAAACAGUCUGUGUGUCCAGAAACAAGCUGUCGCAGGGGACAGAGGAGCUAUGUUUUCAAAAGCGCAAAAUCUCAACUAGCAACAAAACCCAAACAAUGUAGAAAUAUCUUCGUAAUAGUGACAAGGGGAAAAAAAAAAAAAAAAAAAAAAAACUAAGCUAACAUCAGUGCUCUCUGUUCUACUAGGUGAAGCUCACGGACAGUCAGGAUUGAUCUUUCUUAGGCUGCGUUAGGGCUCUCACAGCACAAAGACGAAAACGCGGCAUACAGAAAUCAAGCUCCAUACAGGAGAAUCCCUGUUUAUAUGUGACUGUCCUCAGAAGAACAUUUCUGCAACUCAGUUAAGCGGGACCUCUUCACCACGGUUUCAAUACUAAGCGUGCAUACAGCUAACCAAACUCCUCCCUCUGGUCCGAGCAAACCCAGGCCUCCUCGGGCUCCAGGUGCGAGCUUUCGGGCCCGGCUCGUCACAGGCACACGGCACCGUUACCUGUGUCUUUGAAGAUCUUCUCGUCCGGAGGCACCACCGAGCACAGGCUAUUGAGGACCAACGUGCCCAAUUUCAGAGCAUUCUUCUCUGAGCUCUUGUAGUAAUCCAAGGAAUUGUGGGUAAGCACAAACCACCGUUUUUUUAGUUUUAAUGAAGACAUCUUUGGACUGUUCUUUACUUCUUUGUGCAGCCACCCUGGAAAGGAAGAUCGGAGUGUAAAUUAAAAACUAGGAAGACAAACACCAAACAUCAGGUAAUAAUUUGCAGGAUGCUUCCUAAUGGGUCAUAUUUCUAUAUAUUUGCUAGAAAGGGCCAUGACCCUUUCUUGUGUUUUUGCUGUCUGUCUGCUUGUUGGUUUGUUAAGCAAGCUCAAGAGUCAAAAUUACUCAGGAAAGCUGCUCAAAGGGGCAAGGCCGUGGUGGCAGUCACCUCUCACGAUGAAUUCCUGGCCCUCCACUCUUGUGUCCCCCUUGGACCUCUGCAGCAGCGUUAUCCAAUGAUGCAUCUCCUCCGGUGUAUCAGCGUUGCAGUGCAGCACCCGGUUGGCCGUGAUGAUCACAAACGAAUUGGGUCUGGGCGACAGGGCAAGAAGGAAGCCAAGACUUAGCUCUCUACUGUCCGCAUCACCUGCUCGAACCAAGACCAGCCGCCUCUUUCCUGGCUUACGGUCAGCGGGACGAAAAGCGCGGUGCUAUUUGUGGUUUGUGCUAAGGCAAAUCUUGCUCAUUUCUGCAGGAUUUAUUUUAUGCAUCAUUAACCUUUAAACUUGGAGCAACACAUUCAGGAGGCCCUGGAAGGGGAAAGAUUCCUUCAUGCAAAACUUUCCAAAUGAAACUUGGUUCCGGGAAGGCUAAAAUAAGGUGACGGUGGGGGAAAUUUUUUUUUUUCUGAUGCCUCUCCAAAGUAAAUUUCUCUCUGCCUCUGGGUACUGCCUUGGAUAAUAUUUCUGUGGGUCGGUAAUGAUACGUCAGACACCAGUAAUAAAAGCAGAUCAGUAAAUAGGUGUAAAUGGAACAUCUUAUACACUUGAUUAUGCUUGCUACAAAAAGCCACCUGGGUCCAUGUUUUCAAAGCAAUCUAACAAAGGCUUAUUUCCCAGUCAGGGAUAACAUAAUAAUGGAAAUUUACUUUCUCCUUCACCUCUUUUUGUCUGGCAAUGCCCUGAGUCUCUCCUAGGCCCUAGCUCAUACUCAUGCCUAUAUUGAACCACUUAAGCUGGUGGCUGUGAAUUUCUUGCAGGCUUUCAAAUGCUCGCGGCAAUUAAGCGCUGCAAAAGUUCAAGAAAAAGCAAGAUUAAUGGGACUGUAGUAGACAGGGAAAGACAGGUGCUCUUUAAAAGACACUUCUCUUGUUGGGAAGGAGGUGGGCACUUGAGGAAGAGAGAAGGAUGUGAGUAGGAAUGGAAAGUUCUAAGCAUGGACCCUCACAUGCCCAGCCUGCUGGAGCGAAAGGGUUUAGGAGACAGAUGUCGAUAGGGUAGGAACUUGGCCGUCAGAAUAAAAUCUGGGCUGAAUAUGGACAAAACACACGUGUUAAUUAAAGGUUCUGAAGACUCUAGAUAAUUCUACCUAGUAGGCACUAUUUUUGUUGUCAGUUGGAAUACGUUUCUAUCCACUUUCUAAAGCUACCUUACUGAAGGCAGAAGCCAAUUUUGAUUCCUAAUGCAGAAUUCAAAGAGCAGCAAAGAAACACAGAGAAGACAAAGGUCAACGGUACAGACUCCUGAGGGCACCCAUGAAGAUGGUUUGCCUUCAAAAAAACAAAACCAACACAUGCUAUUUUAAGGGCACAAAUAAGGUUGAGAUGUCAAGGGAAGAAUGUGGUUUAAUUUAUUAACACUCCACAUACACGUUACAACAAGAUCCUUUUUAAAUUCCUUAUUAAGUUUAGGAAGGGGAACAGCACCCUUCCCUGUGCUGGAAUACUAUUUUCCGAAAUAGGCAUUUUCUUCCUCUUUGCAUCCUGGGUUUACCCCUGUACCCAAAGGAAGACUGUGCCUCUUGUGUGUAUGUUUUUAACUGACUGUCUAAAUUAGGUUUCCACGGUCUCUCCCAGCAGCCCAAAGAUACCCAGAGAGGACGACUUCUGGGUGAUAUAAAACCGGGCACAAAGAAAGAAGACUGGAAUUGCCCAGGUGACCACAGGCAGCCUGAGAUCAUUUCACAGCUCAGAAAGGAAGGGACCUAGAAGCAGAGAGAGCUGUGGGAGCACACAGGUUACUCAUCCCUUUCGCCAAGAGUCACAUCUGAACUUACCUCUCGGGGCUGUCGGAGGCGCACACGGAGUCUAUCAUCCCCACGUCCAAAGUGCCCUGGAAAGGAGCAAAAGCAGAGGGAACAGAACCAUUGAAAUACAGCACACAUCAUCAUAAUAUCCUUAGAUCAUGAAGCUCGAAGUAGGCAAACAGACAAAAAAAAAAGCUCCCUCCUUUUGUGUUAAAUGCAAAAUAAUCGUUAUCUAAGAAAGAUCCCACCUUCAGUUGGUGAGUACAGCCUCUAGACAGGGGAGACAGUUCACUCAUGAAAAAAAAUAUACGUAAGCGCCCCGCCCCGUCUUGUUUUUAAAAUACGUUCAGGGAAAAGUGUUUACAAACUUCUUUCAAUAGUACAAAUUUUUCUGAUUUACACUAUGAUCUAUCGCUAAAUUUUACACGUACUCUAACAAACUUUUUUAAUUUUUUUAAAUGUUUAUUUAUUUUUGACAGAGAGAGAGAGAGAGAGAGAGAGAGAGAGAGAGAGAGAGAGAGAGAGAGAGGCAGAGACAGAGCAUAAGUGGGGGAGGGGCAGAGAGAGAGGGAGACACAGAAUCCGAAGCAGAGCCUGGCGGGACUUGAACUCACAGACUAAGAGAUCAUGACCUGAGCCGAAGUUGGAUGCUCAACCGACUGAGCCAGCCGGGUGCCCCAGAAACUUUUUUUAAAUAGAACCUUCUUUCCCCCUUUAAAAAAAAUGUUUAUUUUGAGCACUGGGUGUUGUAUGGAAACCAAU
This is a long non-coding RNA of Neofelis nebulosa (Clouded leopard), 4420 nucleotides long. RefSeq lists it as uncharacterized. The transcript is spliced from 6 exons. Lineage: Eukaryota; Metazoa; Chordata; Mammalia; Carnivora; Felidae. The record is from RefSeq and is a predicted model, not a curated record.